UGGAGCAGCACUGAGCAGGCUUCAGGAGAGAGUAACACUGUUCCCGUGGUGGGCCACAGCUGUCUCCGCCAUCUCGAAUACUGCCUGGCACACAGGAAGUCGGCGAUAACUUUCCAUCGCGUGGCCUCCGUCUCCUCUUCCGCCCACCUG
Molecule: long non-coding RNA, 150 nt
Organism: Loxodonta africana (African savanna elephant)
Lineage: Eukaryota; Metazoa; Chordata; Mammalia; Proboscidea; Elephantidae
Exons: 3
Source: RefSeq, a predicted model, not a curated record